RNAcentral lists this non-coding RNA (30 nucleotides) under Callithrix jacchus (white-tufted-ear marmoset). The record is from RNAcentral. Lineage: Eukaryota; Metazoa; Chordata; Mammalia; Primates; Cebidae. RNAcentral also lists the same sequence under 2 other names.
CUUUUGGCUAAGAUCAAGUGUAGUAUCUGU